RNAcentral lists this ribosomal RNA (242 nucleotides) under uncultured bacterium. RNAcentral describes it as "partial 16S ribosomal RNA". It matches the Rfam family "Bacterial small subunit ribosomal RNA", at positions 92 to 334 of the family's 1533-position model. The record is from RNAcentral.
CGACCGGCGCACGGGUGAGUAACACGUAUCCAACCUGCCGUCUACUCUUGGACAGCCUUCUGAAAGGAAGAUUAAUACAAGAUGGCAUCAUGAGUCCGCAUGUUCACAUGAUUAAAGGUAUUCCGGUAAAGGAUGGGGAUGCGUUCCAUUAGGUUGUUGGUGGGGUAACGGCCCACCAAGCCUUCGAUGGAUAGGGGUUCUGAGAGGAAGGUCCCCCACAUUGGAACUGAGACACGGUCCAA